Long non-coding RNA from Eptesicus fuscus (big brown bat), 1497 nucleotides. RefSeq lists it as uncharacterized. The transcript is spliced from 4 exons. The record is from RefSeq and is a predicted model, not a curated record. NCBI's taxonomy places the organism in Eukaryota, Metazoa, Chordata, Mammalia, Chiroptera, Vespertilionidae.
GAGCGGGAUGCCUCGGCAACAACACGACUUCCGAUUGGCCAAGGGCGGCUGACGGUUGAGGUGCACCUGCCUGCGGGGGACCGCGGUCUCCGGCCUCUGCGCAUGCUCCCGAGCCCCGCCGUGCUGAGGGCGGCGGAGGCGGCGGGCGUGCAGCGCGGCGUGAAGGUGGUGCCGGCCGGACCGUGGCCGCGGGUCGGCUCGAGGGGACGCCCGCCUCCAGCCGGCACGCUCCGUGGGCCCGGCGAUGCGCCCCCCCCAGCCGCGCCCUGCUGGGAGCGGACAGGUUCGCACUGUACCUGGAUGCGCGGCGGACGCCGCCCCAGGUGGGGGGAUCGCGCACCGGCGUCCGCCGGGCCCUGGGGACGGACCCUGAGAUGGGGUCGGAGGAGUCACCCCGGCCGAGAAGCGCUGUGGACGCCCAGGCCCCUCCAGCAAUCCUGCCUGAGGAGUAAGGAAAAGGAAAACAGAAGAACGCCUCGCCAGCCCGCCUUCACGGUGUGACCGGAAAGGCUCUCCUGGUGGCACCGGGAGUUCCGGGGCGUUGGUGGGAAGGGGACUUCCUGGCACGGUGCACCACGUGGUAACACAAUCUCCUCGGCCCUGGGACGACGACAGGUCCUCACGUUGACAUUUGAGAUGCAGCGGAGAGAGGAGUGAGCCCAGCUGGCGAAAGAGAAUGAAUCUCAAUGGAGCAUCCUUUUUCCUUCACAGUCUUUUGUUGACCAGACUCUUUCAUCAAGGUUCUCACAGUGGGAAUUUCUUCUGGAUUGAGCUCUUUCUAUUGUUAGCAACAUGAUUGAAUCCAUAUAUAUCACAAAAUCUGAUCUCCAGAAACCACUGCUGCCAGUGUCUCUGAGGGAGGAAGCAGGGCCAGCGGAGGGUCAGCUGCACUUCCGAAUUGUUCGAGGUUUUACAAGGAAGCACUGCCGCAGCCAAGGCAGCCCCUGCCUGUGUGUCCCGCCACGCGGCCCUGCCCACUGUCCCGAGGUGAAGGCAGAGCAGGGGCGCAGCCUCUGGGUGGGGAGCUGGACUGACCGACACGAACUCAAGUGGACCAAGAAGGACUUUCCGAGGCACUGCUACAGGUGUGGCCCCGGAGCAAAGACCCGGCGAUGGAGGAGGAGGGAGGCCAGGAGGGGUGCCCACAGGGAGCGGGGGCAGAUCUGUGGGCCUGGAACCCAGGCGCUGGGGGAGCGGGAGCCUUAAGGAGAAGAGCACGCGUUUACCCACACGAUCACAUCUGAACGCGGCUAUUAGUUUAGAAUGAGAAAAACAUCUAAAAAAGUAAGACUUUAAAAGCUGACAUGUCCAGCCCUGACCAGUUUGGCUCAGUGGACAGAGCGUCAGCCUGCGGACUCAAGGGUCCCAGGUUCGAUUCCGGUCAGGGGCAUGUACCUUGGUUGCGGGCACAUCCCCAGUGGGAGGUGUGCAGGAGGCAGCUGAUUGAUGUUUCUCUCUCAUUGAUGUUUCUAGCUCUCUCUCCCUCUCCCUCUCUAU